This 305-nucleotide ribosomal RNA is filed under the name uncultured bacterium. RNAcentral's name for it is "bacterial SSU rRNA". It matches the Rfam family "Bacterial small subunit ribosomal RNA", at positions 333 to 629 of the family's 1533-position model. The record is from RNAcentral.
AGGCACCUACGGGGGGCAGCAGUGGGGAAUAUUGCGCAAUGGGCGAAAGCCUGACGCAGCGACGCCGCGUGAGGGAUGAAGGUCUUCGGAUCGUAAACCUCUGUCAGCAGGGAAGAACGGUCACUGUGCUAAUCAGCAGUGAAUUGACGGUACCUGCAAAGGAAGCACCGGCUAACUCCGUGCCAGCAGCCGCGGUAAUACGUAGGGGGCAAGCGUUGUUCGGAAUGACUGGGCGUAAAGGGUGCGUAGGCGGUGUAGCAAGUUAGAAGUGAAAUACCUAGAGCUUAACUCAGGUGCUGCUUCUA